UGGACACUUAUUUUUAUUCAGUUUCUUCUCAAGGUGAAGACAACUUUUUGUAAUGUCCUAGAGAAAUAUAGUAGCUGUUUACCCUUUGCAAGUAAAAAGGGUAGAUCAUUCCACUAUUGACAUUU
Molecule: small nucleolar RNA, 125 nt
Filed under: Castor canadensis (American beaver)
Lineage: Eukaryota; Metazoa; Chordata; Mammalia; Rodentia; Castoridae
Description: Small Cajal body specific RNA 24 (ENSCCNG00000024492.1)
Rfam family: Small Cajal body specific RNA 24
About the family: scaRNAs are a specific class of small nuclear RNAs which localise to the Cajal bodies and guide the modification of RNA polymerase II transcribed spliceosomal RNAs U1, U2, U4, U5 and U12. ACA12 belongs to the H/ACA box class of guide RNAs as it has the predicted hairpin-hinge-hairpin-tail structure,the conserved H/ACA-box motifs and is found associated with GAR1.
Source: Rfam by way of RNAcentral